GAUGAAGAACGUAGCGAAAUGCGAUACUUGGUGUGAAUUGCAGAAUCCCGUGAACCAUCGAGUCUUUGAACGCAAGUUGCGCCCGAAGCCAUUAGGCCGAGGGCACGCCUGCCUGGGCGUCACACGUCGUUGCCCCCCCAUCUACUCCUUCGGGAUUGCGGGGGGCGGAUGAUGGCCUCCCGUGCGCCUCGCCGCGCGGUUGGCCUAAAUGCCAAGUCCUCGGCGACGCACGCCACGACAAUCGGUGGUUGCGAAACCUCGGUUGCCUGUCGUGUGCGGUCGUCGCGCAUCGAGGGCUCGAAAAAAUUGCCGGGCUUCGGCUCGACUUUCAACGCGACCCCAGGUCAGGCGGGGUUACCCGCUGAAUUUAAGCAUAUCAAUAAGCGGAGGA
This 391-nucleotide unclassified non-coding RNA is filed under the name soil metagenome. RNAcentral's name for it is "partial contains 5.8S ribosomal RNA, internal transcribed spacer 2, and large subunit ribosomal RNA". The stretch from base 1 to 122 matches the Rfam family "5.8S ribosomal RNA", at positions 35 to 154 of the family's 154-position model. The record is from RNAcentral.